ACAGACAAGUUGCCACAUCAAAUUCAAAAUCACACAAACCUUCUUUGGCAUUAGACAUUUACUACAUAUAAAAUCUAACAAGGUCUAAUUAAAAAAUAAUAGUAACGAUAUACUUAUAAUAAUUCUAACAUACACAAACUUGUCAUUAAUAAAGGAAGAAAGACCAUGUGAAAAAAAUAGUAAGUGAAAACCAGUCAAACCAUCAGGUACACUGCAAUCAUUUGGAAACCAAAAGGAUCUCCGGCUUUUUAGCUUUACUAGGUGUGUUAACAUUUGACAUAACGGUUACUGCAGCAGCUAUCUUAGCUGUCUCACGACCUUUCUUGUCAAGCUGAAUCAAACUCCUAGUUGCCAAAAUUGCCUGCGGAUUCAACUCAUGUGAAGCCCUUGCAUACAUCCGUUUCACUGCAAUCAUUUGGAAACCAAAAGGAUCUCCGGCUUUUUAGCUUUACUAGGUGUGUUAACAUUUGACAUAACGGUUACUGCAGCAGCUAUCUUAGCUGUCUCACGACCUUUCUUGUCAAGCUGAAUCAAACUCCUAGUUGCCAAAAUUGCCUGCGGAUU
Molecule: unclassified non-coding RNA, 564 nt
Filed under: Hevea brasiliensis (rubber tree)
Lineage: Eukaryota; Viridiplantae; Streptophyta; Magnoliopsida; Malpighiales; Euphorbiaceae
Source: RNAcentral